This 31-nucleotide non-coding RNA is filed under the name Mus musculus (house mouse). Lineage: Eukaryota; Metazoa; Chordata; Mammalia; Rodentia; Muridae. The record is from RNAcentral.
UGAGAGAACUUUUCAGAAUGCUACACAACAU